CAGCAGUGGGGAUAUUGCACAAUGGGCGCAAGCCUGAUGCAGCCAUGCCGCGUGUGUGAAGAAGGCCUUCGGGUUGUAAAGCACUUUCAGUCAGGAGGAAAGGUUAGUAGUUAAUACCUGCUAGCUGUGACGUUACUGACAGAAGAAGCACCGGCUAACUCCGUGCCAGCAGCCGCGGUAAUACGGAGGGUGCGAGCGUUAAUCGGAAUUACUGGGCGUAAAGCGUACGCAGGCGGUUUGUUAAGCGAGAUGUGAAAGCCCUGGGCUCAACCUGGGAACUGCAUUUCGAACUGGCAAACUAGAGUGUGAUAGAGGGUGGUAGAAUUUCAGGUGUAGCGGUGAAAUGCGUAGAGAUCUGAAGGAAUACCGAUGGCGAAGGCAGCCACCUGGGUCAACACUGACGCUCAUGUACGAAAGCGUGGGGAGCAAACGGGAUUAGAUACCCCGGUAGUCCACGCCGUAAACGAUGUCUACUAGAAGCUCGGGUCCUCGGACUUGUUUUUCAAAGCUAACGCAUUAAGUAGACCGCCUGGGGAGUACGGCCGCAAGGUUAAAACUCAAAUGAAUUGACGGGGCCCC
This 579-nucleotide ribosomal RNA is filed under the name Pseudoalteromonas sp. RNAcentral describes it as "bacterial SSU rRNA". It matches the Rfam family "Bacterial small subunit ribosomal RNA", at positions 349 to 922 of the family's 1533-position model. Lineage: Bacteria; Pseudomonadati; Pseudomonadota; Gammaproteobacteria; Alteromonadales; Pseudoalteromonadaceae. The record is from RNAcentral.